GCGUCUAUAGCUCAGUGGAUAGAGCGUUACCCUCCGGAGGUAAAGGUCAAAGGUUCAAAUCCUUUUAGACGUGCC
This 75-nucleotide transfer RNA is filed under the name Candidatus Fokinia solitaria. RNAcentral's name for it is "tRNA-Arg". It matches the Rfam family "tRNA". From Rfam's summary of the family: Transfer RNA (tRNA) molecules are approximately 80 nucleotides in length. Their secondary structure includes four short double-helical elements and three loops (D, anti-codon, and T loops). Lineage: Bacteria; Pseudomonadati; Pseudomonadota; Alphaproteobacteria; Rickettsiales; Candidatus Midichloriaceae. The record is from RNAcentral.